GGACGAACGCUGGCGGCGUGCUUAACACAUGCAAGUCGAGCGGUAAGGCCCUUCGGGGUACACGAGCGGCGAACGGGUGAGUAACACGUGGGUGAUCUGCCUCGCACUUCGGGAUAAGCCUGGGAAACUGGGUCUAAUACCGGAUAUGACCACUGGUCGCAUGGUUGGUGGUGGAAAGAUUUAUCGGUGCGAGAUGGGCCCGCGGCCUAUCAGCUUGUUGGUGGGGUAAUGGCCUACCAAGGCGACGACGGGUAGCCGGCCUGAGAGGGCGACCGGCCACACUGGGACUGAGACACGGCCCAGACUCCUACGGGAGGCAGCAGUGGGGAAUAUUGCACAAUGGGCGAAAGCCUGAUGCAGCGACGCCGCGUGAGGGAUGACGGCCUUCGGGUUGUAAACCUCUUUCGACAGGGACGAAGCGUGAGUGACGGUACCUGUAGAAGAAGCACCGGCCAACUAC
RNAcentral lists this ribosomal RNA (460 nucleotides) under Nocardiaceae bacterium 'ARUP UnID 440'. RNAcentral describes it as "bacterial SSU rRNA". It matches the Rfam family "Bacterial small subunit ribosomal RNA", at positions 27 to 504 of the family's 1533-position model. The record is from RNAcentral. Lineage: Bacteria; Bacillati; Actinomycetota; Actinomycetes; Mycobacteriales; Nocardiaceae.